RNAcentral lists this ribosomal RNA (250 nucleotides) under uncultured Agaricomycetes. Its description in RNAcentral is "partial small subunit ribosomal RNA". It matches the Rfam family "Eukaryotic small subunit ribosomal RNA", at positions 587 to 842 of the family's 1831-position model. The record is from RNAcentral. Lineage: Eukaryota; Fungi; Basidiomycota; Agaricomycetes.
AGCUCCAAUAGCGUAUAUUAAAGUUGUUGCAGUUAAAAAGCUCGUAGUUGAACUUCAGGCCUGGCUGGGUGGUCCGCCUCACGGCGUGUACUAUCCGGCUGGGUCUUACCUCUUGGUGAGCCGGCGUGCCCUUUAUUGGUGUGCGUCGGGGAACCAGGACUUUUACCUUGAGAAAAUUAGAGUGUUCAAAGCAGGCCUGUGCCCGAAUACAUUAGCAUGGAAUAAUAAAAUAGGACGUGCGGUUCUAUUU